This 541-nucleotide ribosomal RNA is filed under the name uncultured bacterium. RNAcentral describes it as "bacterial SSU rRNA". It matches the Rfam family "Bacterial small subunit ribosomal RNA", at positions 119 to 674 of the family's 1533-position model. The record is from RNAcentral.
GAGCAACCUGCCCUGGACUCUGGGAUAAGCGCUGGAAACGGCGUCUAAUACUGGAUAUGAGACGUGAUCGCAUGGUCGUGUUUGGAAAGAUUUUUCGGUCUGGGAUGGGCUCGCGGCCUAUCAGCUUGUUGGUGAGGUAAUGGCUCACCAAGGCGUCGACGGGUAGCCGGCCUGAGAGGGUGACCGGCCACACUGGGACUGAGACACGGCCCAGACUCCUACGGGAGGCAGCAGUGGGGAAUAUUGCACAAUGGGCGAAAGCCUGAUGCAGCAACGCCGCGUGAGGGAUGACGGCCUUCGGGUUGUAAACCUCUUUUAGCAGGGAAGAAGCGAAAGUGACGGUACCUGCAGAAAAAGCGCCGGCUAACUACGUGCCAGCAGCCGCGGUAAUACGUAGGGCGUAAGCGUUAUCCGGAAUUAUUGGGCGUAAAGAGCUCGUAGGCGGUUUGUCGCGUCUGCUGUGAAAUCCCGAGGCUCAACCUCGGGCCUGCAGUGGGUACGGGCAGACUAGAGUGCGGUAGGGGAGAUUGGAAUUCCUGGU